Molecule: long non-coding RNA, 2167 nt
Organism: Lynx canadensis (Canada lynx)
Lineage: Eukaryota; Metazoa; Chordata; Mammalia; Carnivora; Felidae
Exons: 3
Source: RefSeq, a predicted model, not a curated record
AUUGUUUGGGAUUCUCUCUCUCCCUCUCUCUGCUCCUCUCCCCCUCAAAAUACAUAAAAUAAACAUUUAGAAAAACUAAUACUAAUAAAUAUGCUCACUUGUAAUGUUAGCUAUUAAUCACUGAAAAGUGAGGUAAUGUAGAGAGGAGGAAAAUACAGAAAAAAGAUUAUACGAAUACAGGCGGUUCACGGGAGGGCAGGAAUCCCAACUUGUUUCCCUCUGCACUUCUUCUUCCUUUGUCUUUUCCCAGUUUUUCCCAUGCUGGUUUGAGAACAUGGAAAAAUGAGUUGAUUUUGGAGAUCAAUGACACUUUGGUGAUUUUCUUCUGCUAAUGAAUGGUAAUGUGUUGGAGGGGACAAUCCAAGCAGUGAUCAGGGUAGAGAAGACAUUACACAUAAGUAAAAGCCUCUCGCUUUGCCUGUGUCUUUCUUUUUUUCCCAUUAGGCCCUGAACACAUCUCCAUCACCACUCUUAAUGUUCUGGGGGUAAUAACUAUCUAGUAUUAUAAUGGAUGGUGCGGGGGAGGGGCUGGCACAUAGUAGGCACUUGAUGAAUAUUGUGACAUCCCUUCCAGUGCAAGGCUCUCUGGUUACAGUUUACCAACCCCAGGGUAACUGAUGUACGUACUGAAACAGCAAAAGGAGCUAAGGAAGCAAAAUAAAGCAGCACUUUCAACUAUUUCUAUUUUACAAAGUGCUUGGUGAAACUGUAAAAGGAUAUUUAGUACCACAAAAAGUAGGCCAAGGGUAAGAAAAACUCCAUACCCAGGAGAAUUCAGCUGACCAAAUUAAGUCUGAUCCAGAAUAAACAGUUCUCAUCUGGAAAUCUAGCAGUUCCAGAAAGUACUGUCCAAGUGGAAAAAGGCCCACGAUGCUGGUCUGCAUAAUUAUGUAACCCUUUAGGAAAGGGGAAGGAAGUGCCACCAUCCUGGGGUACAUGGGGGAAAGCAACCAUGAGAAAAUAAUAGUACUCAGGCCUCAAAGAAGGGGAUUGUGCUACUAGAGAAACCAGGCCCACAAGCCCUUUCUCAUGAACUUGACCAACUUUGGUCAUUUUUCCCUGUGCCUACCCGGUGUCCAAAACCUAAAACAAGGUUCCUAUUAUCCAAUCCGUCCAACAGAAAUAACUGUCAAAUAGGCACGUGAAUAGCACUGCACAUGAAGGAACCCGUUUGAAAUGAGACACGAGCUCAGCUGCAACGGUCAAAACCAGUCACGUCUGUGCUUUCUCUGGAAAAGCGUGAUCAUCGCCCCUUUGAAGAUCACUUAAAAACAUCAAACAAACUAGAUCCCAGAUGAUGUUAUACCAACCUUUCAUUCCUGGGAUAAAAUCUCCUUGGCCAAAUCCUUUUUAUAUGUUGAGGAACUUGACCACCUGCUAUAUAGAUGUCAUUAUCAGGAGUUACAACAGUCCCAACCUUCUGCAAAUCAGCUGGUGGGCUGCACAGCUUGUAAACUUUUUCUGCUUGGGGGCUGUAACAGACAGAAGAGUAAAGACUACAAGGAUUUUCUGAAGAUGCCUCAAUGAAAAUCAUCAUCUCCUCUUUAGUCAUUCCAAGUCUUGGUUUGAAAAACUUGGGCAUAGACUUAUACAGACCUUGAACCACUACAGACUUGUCAUUGGGUGGGAGGCCUUGGAACCAAGCUCUCUGCGUUACUUCUGAAAGUGCAUCAAUUCUGAUUUGGCUAAGAACUGAAGACAAAUACUGGGAUCGUGAUUCUGUGUUGUACUCUAGCCACAGCAUAGCAGCUUCUCGAACUGUCUCCUCCUUUUCAACAUUUAAAUUGUCACUACUGAGGAUGUCUAUCAGUAGGUCAUGUGACAGCUGCAUGAACGCUUCCUGGUGAUACACAGCAGUGAACUUGUGCUCUACCAUUCUUUUAGCACUUUGCUUUAAUUCUUCACAACUGAACAGAUCAGCAAAACUCAACAAUCGCACACAAUUCUCUGCAUUGAUUUUCUUAAUUAAGUAUUCUCGACAACGCUGUAAUACAUCUUCUACCUAAAAUGGGAGGAAACAAAAGGUUGAUAAAGACAGGACAAAUUUUACUUUUACUGUAAAACACAAGUAUAUUAAUCAGCUCCCUAUACUACGGUUUGUUUUUAGAUAUGUAUGUUUGGGCUAAGAGAUAAUGCCUUCCAGUAAUAAUAAAAUUAUAAGAUUAUG